This 106-nucleotide ribosomal RNA is filed under the name Oryctolagus cuniculus (rabbit). Lineage: Eukaryota; Metazoa; Chordata; Mammalia; Lagomorpha; Leporidae. The record is from RNAcentral.
AUCUAUGACCCUAGCACCCUGAAUAUGUCUGAUCUCGUCUGAUCUCUGAAGUUAAGCAGGGUCAGGCUUGGUUAGUACUUGGGUGGGAGAAAACACUUUAUGGACA